Molecule: ribosomal RNA, 464 nt
Filed under: uncultured bacterium
Lineage: Bacteria
Description: partial 16S ribosomal RNA
Rfam family: Bacterial small subunit ribosomal RNA
Source: RNAcentral
GACGAACGCUGGCGGCGUGCUUAACACAUGCAAGUCGAACGGAAAGGCCCUGCUUGCCGGGUACUCGAGUGGCGAACGGGUGAGUAACACGUGGGUGAUCUGCCCUGCACUUCGGGAUAAGCCUGGGAAACUGGGUCUAAUACCGGAUAGGAGCCAUUUUUAGUGUGAUGGUUGGAAAGUUUUUUCGGUGUAGGAUGAGCUCGCGGCCUAUCAGCUUGUUGGUGGGGUAAUGGCCUACCAAGGCGGCGACGGGUAGCCGGCCUGAGAGGGUGGACGGCCACAUUGGGACUGAGAUACGGCCCAGACUCCUACGGAGGCAGCAGUGGGGAAUAUUGCACAAUGGGCGCAAGCCUGAUGCAGCGACGCCGCGUGGGGGAUGACGGCCUUCGGGUUGUAAACUCCUUUCGCUAGGGACGAAGCUUUUUGUGACGGUACCUAGAUAAGAAGCACCGGCUAACUACGUG